UACUACUGACUACUACUGAUACUACUACUGAUGGUAAGACGUUAAAGAAACCUAGUACAUUAGCAAAGCUUGAUAUUUAAGGAUCAUAGAAUAGGAAUAUGCUAUUGUCCUACUGCAAAAAAGUUUGACAGUCAGUAGGGUUAAAAUUAUAGGUAAUGCAGGAAAUAAAUAAAUAAAAAUUAAUUUAUUAAAUUCCUUCCCUUUGGGGCUUUUGAUGAGUCAUACUUUCCAGUAGUUAUUCAGCCCAUGGAUAAUGCAUUAUGAAGUGUUAAAUAUAUUGACAUCUGAGAUUUUGCAUACUUCACUUAAAUGGUGGAGGUGCAUGUGCAGGCUUGACAAAGUGAAUUGUCCCUUUGCCUGUAAUUUUUAAUUACACAUAUUUUUGAUAGGAAUUUUUAUUGCAUUUGUUGCACUCCACCAUCUCUAUUAAUGAUUAAUGCCGGUUUGUUGAACUCUGCCAAGUUUUUUUUCCUACUGGAGACUCAAGAAUUUUCUGUUUGCGCGUCAUGUUGGGAGGCCUCCCAGCAGGGGGAUUUAACCCACCCCUGUAAAAAACCAUGCGUCACUCGAAGGGUCGUCAAAUACUCACUGCAAUGACAAUUUGCACAGUUUCACACAUGGUAUUGUCAUCACUUGGUAGGCGGGGGUACAAGAUAGAAGCGCGUUUGUGUUUCCUUGGAGGAAGCAAACUUGGCAGACGGACAAUUUUUAUUUAUUUUCUAUUUUUUUACCAUCUAUUGGUGGUGAGGUAAUCGAUGAUAAUCAAGAGUAUCGGGUUGAAUCCAACUUUUACUAUCUUCUUCAGUUACCUGCUUUUGAUGCAGUAUCAUUUGAAGCAUUACUGUGGGCUGAAUUUCAAAGGUCUAGAUAGUCAAAGGCAUAUGUUUAGUUUUGAAUAGAAUGCAUUAUAUCACUCCAAUAUUUAUGGAACUUUGAUUUGAAAAAAUGUAAAACUUAUUUUCCCAUGUUGAAGUUUGUAGUGCAGUUAAAGGGAUUUAUUUUCCCCCAGUAUUCGUCAGGGUGGCCCCCCAGAUUAAAAGCCUAUUCGUACCAAGUUGGCUGUUUGACAAUCUUAGCAGCAUACUUUAUAAUCCUAAAUGUUAAAUAAAAAAAAAAAGUUAUAGGGAAUUCAGCUUUUAUUGAAACAGUGUAGCUAUAGGGCUGGCAGAGGUAGGGGAUCGAUGGCAUCCAGCUAUGGGCCCAGGCUGGAUUCCACCCAAGGCUGCUAUGGUAAGAAAGCCUGCAUCAUAUACACAGGUGAGCUACUGGUGCACUGGCAUGAUAAAUUCCAAGAAAAAUUCUAAAUGCCUGAUUUUUCUCUUUGCUGAAUUGGUGCAGAGCACACGGCCCGAUGGUGAUAAAGGCCAUGGAAGGUUCAGGUUCCCCUGCCACCAGGAAAAUCUACUUGGGAGGUGAUGGAGGCCAUGGAAGGUUCCGGUUCCUCUGCCACCAGGAAAAUCUACUUGGGACCCUGUGACCCAGAGAUGCCCCGUCCACAUUGCAGGCUCAAAGCCAAGCGGUACUUCUCCUGUCUCGAUGAUACCCCUUUGCCAUGGGAUGUCUUCAGAUUUCAACCUUUUGGGACCUGUGAGACCUGAACUUGUCAAGCCCUGCACACUAUCUUAUAUGCAGACCUCGCUUCUGAACCACUGCUGCAUGUCGGCAAACCACCCGACUUGAUAAACUGUUCUACGGACUUGAACACAAACCCCAAGGCUCAUUCUGCACACCCCACUCUGCUCACCCAACAUCAUGCUCUACCAAAAUCUAGCACCACCACUGGACUGACAAAAAGCAGCCAACUUGAAAUGGUUGACCCUAAUUUGCUUAAAUGUUUGAACAAACUACUUGAGGGUGUAUAAUGCAAUCCUUCGGUUUGUGACGCGCAGAUUGUGUCCAAAGGUUCACAAACAGUUGGGUUUUGUCCAUAGAAACGUGCAUGCACUCUUGCAUUCCCUAAUUUCAUAUUUGUACAUUUGAGAAAAAUUGGUUGGGGUUUAAUGAGCUGGGUCUCCUUAGCAUUACAGAGAAUGAGGUCGACUCAAUAGAUGGUAAGGAUUUUAUCCUUCCCCUUAUUCUCUGUAUGUGAGGAAAUCUGGCCAUGAAUCCUUACUGAAUUGUGUACCAUGGUUGUGCAGUUUCCAAAACUAGACUUGGAUCCAUCUAGUUUUGUGAAUCAGCUCACCAAUGGUAUGCAACAAGUCCCCAUUAUGGAGAAGUAAACAUUGUGCGGAGUUAAGGUCUGCAUGUAUGUAUAUUAUGUUUAUACAUUUGCGUUCGAACGACAAUAGGACAUUGAAUAUCUGACAAAAAUGUUCCCACUAAAGAUUAAAACCAAACGUUCAGUUAAGUCCCAUUAUUUCACGCCUUCUCCUUGUUUAAUGGCAAUUUAUCCCCAUAAUUCCUCCAUCUAGACUAUAAUUUUUUUCAGAUGAGCCUACAUACAUAUAAUAUAAUAUAAUAUAAUAUAAUAUAAAUACUCCUGCUGGUCACUUAUGUAGAUGCAAGGGGGCAGUAAAGUGUCUGUCACAGCUUAGUGCCAUGGAAGGUUCAGGUUCCUCUGCCACCAGGAAAAUCUACUUGGGACCCUGUUACCCAGAGAUGCCCCGUCCACAUUGCAGUUUCAAAGCAUAGCGUUACUCCUCCUGUCUCGAUGAUACCCCUUUGCCAUGGGAUGUCGUCUUCAGAUUUCAACCUUUUGGGAGCUGUGAGACCUGAAGUUGUCAAGCCCUGCACACUAUCUUAUAUGCAGACCUCGCUUCUGAACCACUGCUGCAUGUCGGCAAACCACCCGACUUGAUAAACUGUUCUACAGACUUGAACACAAACCCCAAGGCUCAUUCUGCACACCCCACUCUGCUCACUUAACAUUAUGCUCACCUAACAUCAUGCUCUACCAAAAUCUAGCACCACCACUGGACUGACAAAAAGCAGCCAACUUGAAAUGGUUGAUCCUAAUUUGGUUAAAUGUUUGAACAAACUACUUGAGGGUGUAUAAUGCAAUCCUUCGGUUUGUGACGCGUUGGAUUGUGUCCAAUGGUUCACAAACUGUUGGGUUUUGUCCAUAGAAACAUGCAUGUGCUCUUGCAUGCCCUAAUUUCAUAUUUGUACAUUUGAGAAAAAUUGGUUGGGGUUUAAUGAGCUGGGUCUCCUUAGCAUUACAGAGAACAAGAUCAACAAGUCGACUCAAUAGAUGGUAAGGAUUUUAUCCUUCCCCUUAUUCUCUGUAUGUGAGGAAAUCUGGCCAUGAAUCCUCACUGAAUUGUGUACCAUGGCUGUGCAGUUUCCAAAACUAGACUUGGAUCCAUCUAGUUUUGUGAAUCAGCUCACCAAUGGUAUGCAACAAGUCCCCAUUAUGGAGAAGUAAACAUGGUGCGGAGUUAAGGUCUGCAUGUAUGUUUAUUAUAUGUAUAUACAUUUGCAUUCGAAUGACAAUAGGACAUUGAAUAUCUGACAAAAAUGUUCCCACUAAAGAUUAAAACCAAACAUUCAGUUAAAUCCUAUUAUUUCACGCCUUCUCCUUCUUGUUUAAUGGCAAUUUAUCCCCAUAAUUCCUCCAUAUAGACUAUAAUUUUUUUCAGAUGAACCCACAUACAUAUAAUAUAAUAUAAUAUAAUAUAAUAUAAUAUAAAUACACCUGCUGGUCACUUAUGUAGAUGCAAGGGGGCAGUAAAGUGUCUGUCACAGCUUAGUGCCAUGGAAGGUUCCGGUUCCUCUGCCACCAGGAAAAUCUACUUGGGACCCUGUGACCCAGAGAUGCCCCGUCCACAUUGCAGUGUCAAAGCAUAGUGGUACUCCUCCUGUCUCGAUGAUACCCCUUUGCCAUGGGAUGUUGUCUUCAGGAUUUCAACCUUUUGGGACCUGUGAGACCUGAAGUUGUCAAGCCCUGCACACUAUCUUAUAUGCAGACCUCACUUCUGAGCCACUGCUGCAUGUCGGCAAACCACCCGACUUGAUAAACUGUUCUACGGACUUGAACACAAACCCUAAGGCUCAUUCUGCACACACCACUCUUAUCACCCAACAUCAUGCUCUACCAAAAUCUAGCACCACCACUGGACUGACAAAAGCAGACAACUUGAAAUGGUUGAUCCUAAUUAGCUUAAAUGUUUGAACAAACUACUUGAGGGUGUAUAAUGCAAUCCUUCGGUUUGUGACGCGUUGGAUUGUGUCCAAUGGUUCACAAACUGUUGGGUUUUGUCCAUAGAAACAUGCAUGUGCUCUUGCAUGUCCUAAUUUCAUAUUUAUACAUUUGAGAAAAAUCGGUUGGGGUUUAUUGAGCUGGGUCUCCUUAGCAUUACAGAGAACAAGGUCAACGAGUCGACUCAAUAGAUGGUAAGGAUUUUAUCCUUCCCCUUAUUCUCUGUAUGUGAGGAAAUCUGGCCAUGAAUCGGCACUGAAUUGUGUACCAUGGUUGUGCAGUUUCCAAAACUAGACUUGGAUCCAUCUAGUUUUGUGAAUCAGCUCACCAAUGGUAUGCAACAAGUCCCCAUUAUGGAGAAGUAAACAUUUGUUUGCUAAAACAAAUAAGCUACGGUCAAACGUGAGAAAAUGGGCAUACACUGCCACUUCUUUAGAGCUUUUCCUGUUGUGAAAACGUGUAGACAUCUUUUUGGUUUUGGUUUGUCAAAAGCUUGUUUUACGCGUGUAAAAACUAAAACAAAACAUUCUUGCUUUUGAAAGCAGAUGUAUAGAAUAACUACUAAAGGUACAAUAGGUAAGAAAUGUUAUAUACAGUGUAAACAAAUACAUUUUUGGUCUGUUUGCCUUCUAUUAAUCCAUCUGAUAAAU
Long non-coding RNA from Solea solea (common sole), 4791 nucleotides. RefSeq lists it as uncharacterized. Lineage: Eukaryota; Metazoa; Chordata; Actinopteri; Pleuronectiformes; Soleidae. The transcript is spliced from 4 exons. The record is from RefSeq and is a predicted model, not a curated record.